Molecule: ribosomal RNA, 274 nt
Filed under: uncultured bacterium
Lineage: Bacteria
Description: partial 16S ribosomal RNA
Rfam family: Bacterial small subunit ribosomal RNA
Source: RNAcentral
AUACGGAGGGGGCUAGCGUUGUUCGGAAUUACUGGGCGUAAAGCGUACGUAGGCGGACUGAUCAGUUGGGGGUGAAAUCCCAGGGCUAAACCCUGGAACUGCCUUCAAUACUGUCAGUCUUGAGAUUGGAAGAGGUGAGUGGAAUUCCUAGUGUAGAGGUGAAAUUCAUAGAUAUUAGGAGGAACACCAGUGGCGAAGGCGGCUCACUGGUCCAAUACUGACGCUGAGGUACGAAAGCGUGGGGAGCAAACAGGAUUAGAAACCCUAGUAGUCC